This is a non-coding RNA of Salmonella enterica subsp. enterica serovar Macclesfield, 159 nucleotides long. The record is from Rfam. NCBI's taxonomy places the organism in Bacteria, Pseudomonadati, Pseudomonadota, Gammaproteobacteria, Enterobacterales, Enterobacteriaceae.
UUUUUUAUAAAUCUUUGAAAUAAAAUAGUUUUAAUUUAAAUAUUAUCUGGAUUUCUAAAAAAUAAUUAAAAAUCAUUAAUAUAAUUUUUUUCUGCCGUGGUUGGAUUAUCUCCUGAAAAUGCCGUGGGUUCUCGUCCUUCAGGACGAUAUUCUUUUGAG